GUUAAACAACUGCGGAGAAGAGAAAUUCCUCUAGUAAAGGUCACGUGGACACACCACAAGGGAGGAGAUGCGACUUGGGAAUUAGAGGACGACAUGAAGGCUCGUUAUCCCCGCCUUUUUGGUGAAGAAAAUCUCGAGGUUAUUGAACCCGGGAUCGAGGAUUAGAGCGAAUCUUUCAGAGUUCAUCGUUUAGACCAAGCAAUACGGAUCCUUCGAGAUCUUUUACAAUACACAUAAGGAUAAAUGGUUGAUCACUAUUGAAUAUGUGUGUUCAAGAGAAAGGAAGAUUGCUUAUGGAAGGUGGAGAGAGUGUGCAUUUGGUAACUCAAGAAAAAGUCAAAUACCAAGGCAAAAAGAAUGGGAAGAAAAAGUUUACUUCUCAAGAAAACAUUAAGAAGGAAUCCAAGUGUUUCUUCUGUAAGAAGAAAAGAUACAUGAAGAAAGAUUUACAGAUAUUCCAAGACUGGUUUGCUAAUAAAGGGUUUGCAAAACCUAAGGAAGGCAGUGGAAAGCGAACAAUGUAUCUAUUCGGGAAACAAGAUGCGCUCACAUGUGGAGGAUGUUGGAAUAUGUUAUCUAGUUUUAAGUAGU
Tarenaya hassleriana is the source of this 591-nucleotide long non-coding RNA. RefSeq lists it as uncharacterized. The transcript is spliced from 4 exons. NCBI's taxonomy places the organism in Eukaryota, Viridiplantae, Streptophyta, Magnoliopsida, Brassicales, Cleomaceae. The record is from RefSeq and is a predicted model, not a curated record.